GUUGAACGCUGGCGGCAUGCCUUACACAUGCAAGUCGAACGGCAGCACGGGAGCAAUCCUGGUGGCGAGUGGCGAACGGGUGAGUAAUAUAUCGGAACGUGCCCAGUCGUGGGGGAUAACGUAGCGAAAGCUACGCUAAUACCGCAUACGAUCUAUGGAUGAAAGCGGGGGAUCGCAAGACCUCGCGCGAUUGGAGCGGCCGAUAUCAGAUUAGGUAGUUGGUGAGGUAAAGGCUCACCAAGCCGACGAUCUGUAGCUGGUCUGAGAGGACGACCAGCCACACUGGGACUGAGACACGGCCCAGACUCCUACGGGAGGCAGCAGUGGGGAAUUUUGGACAAUGGGCGCAAGCCUGAUCCAGCUAUGCCGCGUGCAGGAUGAAGGCCUUCGGGUUGUAAACUGCUCUUGUACGGAACGAAACGGCGAGCUCUAAUACAGUUUGCUAAUGACGGUACCGUAAGAAUAAGCACCGGCUAACUACGUGCCAGCCGCCGCAGUAA
Molecule: ribosomal RNA, 500 nt
Filed under: uncultured bacterium
Lineage: Bacteria
Description: partial 16S ribosomal RNA
Rfam family: Bacterial small subunit ribosomal RNA
Source: RNAcentral